GAUAUUGCUUAGAAAAGAUGAGUAAUUAUUUAAUGCCAUUACAGAGAGCUAGGAAAGAUGAGAACUAGUAUGGUGACGAAUAAUGAAGAUGGUCUUGGAGCAGACUGAUGCUGUGAGCAUACAUGUUAGCAGCAAGCGAUUAGCACCCGUUACCGUGCUGGAGUAUUUUUAUGUACUUUUUGCGGGUCUUAUUGUGAGAUAAGGCUAAAUUAGGGUGGUAUCACGUUAAUGAAUAUUAGACGUCCCUAGG
The sequence is a regulatory RNA element, 250 nucleotides long. It matches the Rfam family "T-box leader". Rfam says of the family: Uncharged tRNA acts as the effector for transcription antitermination of genes in the T-box leader family. The record is from Rfam.